This 497-nucleotide ribosomal RNA is filed under the name uncultured bacterium. RNAcentral describes it as "partial 16S ribosomal RNA". It matches the Rfam family "Bacterial small subunit ribosomal RNA", at positions 28 to 507 of the family's 1533-position model. The record is from RNAcentral.
GAUGAACGCUGGCGGCGUGCUUAACACAUGCAAGUCGAACGAACAGACGAGGAGCUUGUUCCUCGGACGGUAGCUGCGGACGGGUGAGUAACGCGUGGAUAACCUACCUGUAAGUCUGGUACAUCUUCGGGAAAGCGGAGAGAAGACCAGAGAAUAUAUUGAACCGCAUGGUUCAAUAGUGAAAGGCGGUUGUGCUGUCACUUCUAGAGGGAUCCGCGCCGCAUUAGAUAGUUGGUAAGGUAACGGCAUACCAAGGCGACGAUGCGUAGCCGACCUGAGAGGGUGGUCGGCCACCCGGGAAGUGAGACGGAGCCGCGACACCUGGGGGAGGACGCAGUAGGGAAUCUUACGCAAUGGGGGAAAGCCUGACGGAGCAACGCGGAGUGAGUUAUGAAGGUGCUCCGAUCGUAAAACUCUGUUAUUAGGGAAGAACAAAUGUUUAAGUAGCUGUGCAGGUAUUGACGGUACCUAAUCAAAAAGCCACGGCUAACUACGUG